GAUGAACGCUAGCGGCAGGCCUAAUACAUGCAAGUCGAGCGGCAAGUUGAGGAGUAAUCCAAAACCUAGAGCGGCGUACGGGUGCGUAACGCGUAUGCAACCUACCUCAUACAGGGGGAUAGCCCGGAGAAAUCUGGAUUAAUACCCCAUGGCACAGCACAAGGGCAUCUGCGAGCUGUUAAAGAUUCAUCGGUAUGAGAUGGGCAUGCGUCUGAUUAGCUAGUUGGCGGUGUAACGGACCACCAAGGCGACGAUCAGUAGGGGUUCUGAGAGGAAGGUCCCCCACACUGGCACUGAGAUACGGGCCAGACUCCUACGGGAGGCAGCAGUAGGGAAUAUUGGGCAAUGGACGAGAGUCUGACCCAGCCAUGCCGCGUGCAGGAAGACGGCGUUAUGCGUUGUAAACUGCUUUUAUCUGGGAAGAAAAAGUCCAUGCGUGGAAAAUUGCCGGUACCAGAUGAAUAAGCACCGGCUAACUCCGUG
RNAcentral lists this ribosomal RNA (483 nucleotides) under uncultured organism. Its description in RNAcentral is "bacterial SSU rRNA". It matches the Rfam family "Bacterial small subunit ribosomal RNA", at positions 28 to 507 of the family's 1533-position model. The record is from RNAcentral.